Molecule: ribosomal RNA, 1300 nt
Filed under: Lentilactobacillus buchneri
Lineage: Bacteria; Bacillati; Bacillota; Bacilli; Lactobacillales; Lactobacillaceae
Description: bacterial SSU rRNA
Rfam family: Bacterial small subunit ribosomal RNA
Source: RNAcentral
GGGGCGUCCCCUUUGAGAGAGGCCCCCGGGGGUUUUUUAUUUUGUGUGGAAAAGUAACGGCCCUCCACAGGGGGGUUUAAUUUGUCCCCCCCCUGGAGGAGGUUAUUCGGCCCACUUGGGGAAUUAGAACCCGGGCCCCAAAUUUCUUGGGGGGAGGCAGCCAGUAGGGAAUUUUUCCCACAAUGGACGAAAAUUUUGAAGGAGCAACCCCCGCUUGAAUGAUGAAGGGUUUCGGCUUCGUAAAACUUCUGUUGUUGGAGAAGAACAGGUGUCAGAGUAACUGUUGACAUCUUGACGGUAUCCAACCAGAAAGCCAGGGCUAACUACGUGCCAGCAGCCGCGGUAAUACGUAGGUGGCAAGCGUUGUCCGGAUUUAUUGGGCGUAAAGCGAGCGCCGGGCGGUUUUUUUAGGUUUGAUGUGAAAGCCUUUGGCUUAACCGGAGAAGUGCAUCGGAAACCGGGAGACUUGAGUGCAGAAGAGGACAGUGGAACUCCAUGUGUAGCGGUGAAAUGCGUAGAUAUAUGGAAGAACACCAGUGGCGAAGGCGGCUGUCUGGUCUGUAACUGACGCUGAGGCUCGAAAGCAUGGGUAGCGAACAGGAUUAGAUACCCUGGUAGUCCAUGCCGUAAACGAUGAGUGCUAAGUGUUGGAGGGUUUCCGCCCUUCAGUGCUGCAGCUAACGCAUUAAGCACUCCGCCUGGGGAGUACGACCGCAAGGUUGAAACUCAAAGGAAUUGACGGGGGCCCGCACAAGCGGUGGAGCAUGUGGUUUAAUUCGAUGCUACGCGAAGAACCUUACCAGGUCUUGACAUCUUCUGCCAACCUAAGAGAUUAGGCGUUCCCUUCGGGGACAGAAUGACAGGUGGUGCAUGGUUGUCGUCAGCUCGUGUCGUGAGAUGUUGGGUUAAGUCCCGCAACGAGCGCAACCCUUAUUGUUAGUUGCCAGCAUUCAGUUGGGCACUCUAGCAAGACUGCCGGUGACAAACCGGAGGAAGGUGGGGAUGACGUCAAAUCAUCAUGCCCCUUAUGACCUGGGCUACACACGUGCUACAAUGGACGGUACAACGAGUCGCGAAACCGCGAGGUCAAGCUAAUCUCUUAAAGCCGUUCUCAGUUCGGAUUGUAGGCUGCAACUCGCCUACAUGAAGUUGGAAUCGCUAGUAAUCGUGGAUCAGCAUGCCACGGUGAAUACGUUCCCGGGCCUUGUACACACCGCCCGUCACACCAUGAGAGUUUGUAACACCCAAAGCCGGUGAGGUAACCUUCGGGGACCAGCCGUCUAAGUGACAGAAAAUUGGU